ACACGACUACAUUAGAUACCCCUGUAGUCCUAGCCGUAAACGAUACUCGCUAGGUGUCGGCCACGGUGCGACCGUUGUCGGUGCCGUAGGGAAGCCGUGAAGCGAGCCACCUGGGAAGUACGGCCGCAAGGCUGAAACUUAAAGGAAUUGCGGGGGAGCACAACAACGGGUGGAGCUUGCGGUUUAAUUGGAUUCAACGCCGGAAAUCUUACCGGGACCGACAGCAACAUGAAGGCCAAGCUGAAGACUUUGCCGGAUUAGCUG
RNAcentral lists this ribosomal RNA (264 nucleotides) under uncultured archaeon. Its description in RNAcentral is "partial 16S ribosomal RNA". It matches the Rfam family "Archaeal small subunit ribosomal RNA", at positions 717 to 982 of the family's 1478-position model. The record is from RNAcentral.